Molecule: long non-coding RNA, 1142 nt
Filed under: Pan paniscus (pygmy chimpanzee)
Lineage: Eukaryota; Metazoa; Chordata; Mammalia; Primates; Hominidae
Description: lncRNA (ENSPPAG00000044860.1)
Source: RNAcentral
AUGAUUGGCUUCAUUGAAAACAACGUGUCAAAAUUGAGCCUUCUUUUGAAUGACAUUUCAAGGAAGAGCGAGGGCCUCAGCGGCCGGGUCCUGAGAAAACUCCCCUUUCUGGCUCAUGCGCCGUAUGUCCAGGCCCCCACCGUCACCAUAGAGGGGUUCCUCCAGGCCCUAUCUCUGGCAGUGGACAAGCAGUUUGAAGAGAGAAAGAAGCUUGCGGCUUACAUCUGAUCCUGGGCUUCCCCAUCUGGUGCUUUUCCCAUGGAGAACACACAACCAGUAAGUGAGGUGGCCCCACACAGCCGUCUCCCAGGGAAUCCCUUCUGCAAACCAAACGUUACUUAGACUGCAAGCUAGAAAGCCACCAAGGCCAGGCUUUGUUAAAAGAAGUGUAUUCUAUUUAUGUUGUCUUCCUUAUGUCACUCUUACCUAGAGCUGGAGUGCAGUGGUGCGAUCGCAGCUCACUGCAACCUCCGCCUCCUGGGUUCAAGCGAUUCUCGUGCCUCAGCUUCGUGAGUAGCUGGGAUUACAGGUGCCUGCCACCACACUUGGCUAAUUUUUGUAUUUUUUAGUAGAGGCAUGGUUUCACCAUGUUGGCAAGGCUGGUCUCGAACUUCUGGCCUCAAGUGAUCCAUCCACCUCUGCCUCCCAAAGAGCUGGGACUUAGGCAUGAGCCAUCAUGCCCAGCCUUCUUUUCAAUUUUAAAAUAAAUCCUGCAGUUUACAUUUCCACACACUGAUUCCACAGCCUAUUAAUGGGUUCAGCACUGCAAUGUAAAAAUUCUGCUUUGCUCAAUUCUUGUCAUUCAGCCAAAUCCUCAAAGAGAACUCGUAGGUCUCACUCCACUAGACAGAAUAUAAUAAUAAGUAAAAACUGAAACUUGGCCGGGCAUGGUGGCUCAUGCUUCUAAUUCCAACACUUUGGGAGGCUGAGGAGGGUGGAUCACCUGAGGUCAGGAGUUCGAGACCAGCCUGACCAACAUGGCGAAACCCUGUCUCUACUAAAAAUACAAAAAUUAGCCACGCAUGAUGGCACGUGCCUAUAAUCCCAGCUACUCAGGAGGCUGAGGCAGGAGAAUCACUUGAACCCGGAAGGCGGAGGUUGCAGUGAGCUGAGAUCACACCACUACACUCCAGCCUGGGUNA